AGCCACGCAGUGAACACAGAGCGAACUAUUCUUUCGCCUUUUACUAAAGAAUACCGUGUGUUAGCUGCAAUGAGUGGCAUACGCUAAUUUUUUGAGAGGUCUGAUUCUUUUGGAUUAGC
RNAcentral lists this small nuclear RNA (119 nucleotides) under Olea europaea subsp. europaea. It matches the Rfam family "U5 spliceosomal RNA". Rfam says of the family: U5 RNA is a component of both types of known spliceosome. The precise function of this molecule is unknown, though it is known that the 5' loop is required for splice site selection and p220 binding, and that both the 3' stem-loop and the Sm site are important for Sm protein binding and cap methylation. The record is from RNAcentral. Lineage: Eukaryota; Viridiplantae; Streptophyta; Magnoliopsida; Lamiales; Oleaceae.